CUACGGGAUGCUGCAGUGAGGAAUAUUGCACAAUGGGGGGAACCCUGAUGCAGCAACGCCGCGUGGAGGAUGACGCAUUUCGGUGUGUAAACUCCUUUUAUAUGUCAAGAAAAUGACGGUAGCAUAUGAAUAAGCACCGGCUAACUCCGUGCCAGCAGCCGCGGUAAUACGGAGGGUGCAAGCGUUACUCGGAAUCACUGGGCGUAAAGGACGCGUAGGCGGGUUGGAAAGUCAGGUGUGAAAUCCUACAGCUUAACUGUAGAACUGCACUUGAAACUGUUAAUCUAGAGUAUGGGAGGGGAAGAUGGAAUUAGUGGUGUAGGGGUAAAAUCCGUAGAUAUCACUAGGAAUACCUAAAGCGAAGGCGAUCUCCUGGAACAUUACUGACGCUAAGGCGUGAAAGCGUGGGGAGCAAACAGGAUUAGAUACCCCCGUAGUC
RNAcentral lists this ribosomal RNA (439 nucleotides) under uncultured bacterium. RNAcentral describes it as "partial 16S ribosomal RNA". It matches the Rfam family "Bacterial small subunit ribosomal RNA", at positions 339 to 795 of the family's 1533-position model. The record is from RNAcentral.